This 1425-nucleotide ribosomal RNA is filed under the name Salmonella enterica subsp. enterica serovar Typhimurium. RNAcentral describes it as "partial 23S ribosomal RNA". It matches the Rfam family "Bacterial large subunit ribosomal RNA", at positions 566 to 1874 of the family's 2925-position model. The record is from RNAcentral. Lineage: Bacteria; Pseudomonadati; Pseudomonadota; Gammaproteobacteria; Enterobacterales; Enterobacteriaceae.
CGACGUUCAACCGCAAAACAAGCAGAGGGGGCUUAGUGGUGGGGUGACUGCGUACCUUUUGUAUAAUGGGUCAGCGACUUAUAUUCUGUAGCAAGGUUAACCGUAUAGGGGAGCCGGAGGGAAACCGAGUCUUAACCGGGCGUUAAGUUGCAGGGUAUAGACCCGAAACCCGGUGAUCUAGCCAUGGGCAGGUUGAAGGUUGGGUAACACUAACUGGAGGACCGAACCGACUAAUGUUGAAAAAUUAGCGGAUGACCUGUGGCUGGGGGUGAAAGGCCAAUCAAACCGGGAGAUAGCUGGUUCUCCCCGAAAGCUAUUUAGGUAGCGCCUCGUGAAUUCAUCUCCGGGGGUAGAGCACUGUUUCGGCUAGGGGGCCAUCCCGGCUUACCAACCCGAUGCAAACUGCGAAUACCGGAGAAUGUUAUCACGGGAGACACACGGCGGGUGCUAACGUCCGUCGUGAAGAGGGAAACAACCCAGACCGCCAGCUAAGGUCCCAAAGUCAUGGUUAAGUGGGAAACGAUGUGGGAAGGCCCAGACAGCCAGGAUGUUGGCUUAGAAGCAGCCAUCAUUUAAAGAAAGCGUAAUAGCUCACUGGUCGAGUCGGCCUGCGCGGAAGAUGUAACGGGGCUAAACCAUGCACCGAAGCUGCGGCAGCGAACGUAUCACCCAAGACAACUUUACGGAGUUGACGAUUGACGGAGCGAAGCGACGUCAAAGCGUUCAUUAAAGUCGAGUUGGCUUAGGGAUACGUUCGUUGGGUAGGGGAGCGUUCUGUAAGCCUGUGAAGGUGUGUCGUGAGGCAUGCUGGAGGUAUCAGAAGUGCGAAUGCUGACAUAAGUAACGAUAAAGCGGGUGAAAAGCCCGCUCGCCGGAAGACCAAGGGUUCCUGUCCAACGUUAAUCGGGGCAGGGUGAGUCGACCCCUAAGGCGAGGCCGAAAGGCGUAGUCGAUGGGAAACGGGUUAAUAUUCCCGUACUUGGUGUUACUGCGAAGGGGGGACGGAGAAGGCUAUGUUGGCCGGGCGACGGUUGUCCCGGUUUAAGCGUGUAGGUGUGUGUUCCAGGUAAAUCCGGUUCACUUUAACACUGAGGCGUGACGACGAGGCACUACGGUGCUGAAGCAACAAAUGCCCUGCUUCCAGGAAAAGCCUCUAAGCAUCAGGUAACACGAAAUCGUACCCCAAACCGACACAGGUGGUCAGGUAGAGAAUACCAAGGCGCUUGAGAGAACUCGGGUGAAGGAACUAGGCAAAAUGGUGCCGUAACUUCGGGAGAAGGCACGCUGACACGUAGGUGAAGUGAUUUACUCAUGGAGCUGAAGUCAGUCGAAGAUACCAGCUGGCUGCAACUGUUUAUUAAAAACACAGCACUGUGCAAACACGAAAGUGGACGUAUACGGUGUGACGCCUGCCCGGUGCCGGAA